Molecule: long non-coding RNA, 351 nt
Organism: Pygocentrus nattereri (red-bellied piranha)
Lineage: Eukaryota; Metazoa; Chordata; Actinopteri; Characiformes; Serrasalmidae
Source: Ensembl
ACUUUGGACUUGCUCGGAGUGCCCUUAUGGAGGCUUCAUGGAUGUUCAUGAGGUCAAUGAGCGUGAACAACCAAUGAGCUGCACCGCGCACCAACCAAUCAGUACUCACUGGCAGUAACACCAGCCUUCUGCUGCCCAAAACCGAUUUGCUGUAGAAAAAAAACAAAACAUAUAGAGCUGUCAGGAGGAAGACCAUCAAGCUACACCAAACGGACAUCUUCUGAUCUUCAAUCAGUUUAUUUCGUCCUUUCUGACCUGAAUCUUAAAUAUAGAACACGCCUAUGCAGGAAAAGAGUUCUACAGCACCAGGAACCAGCGCUGGCAGGAGGAAGACCACCAACCAUCUCCCAC